Molecule: non-coding RNA, 494 nt
Filed under: Pongo abelii (Sumatran orangutan)
Lineage: Eukaryota; Metazoa; Chordata; Mammalia; Primates; Hominidae
Source: RNAcentral
AAUAAGAUGCAGCAAAGUCCAGAAUCUGUGAAACCAUUUUAGCCCAAAUGAGUCUUUUGUGUCCUUUGUUCAUGGAGAAUGGGUGAAGCAAGGUGCACCUGUUUCAAUAGUAAUGCAGCCCCACUGAGGAAAGGAAUUUUUGAGUUGUGUCAUUAGAAGUCAUCAUUGCCUAUGUGAGAGAAGAGAGGAAGGAUAGGGCAAGAUGCAGUCACAUAACAGGAUCAUGGAAUUCUAAAAUUGGAAGAAAUAUGUUUCUAGUCACCUAGUAUAGCUUCCAAUCCAUAGGAUGAAUCCUCAUGGCUAAUGAAAGCCUGGAAGAGCAUUAGAACCACCAUGAGGCGGCUGCUGGGAUGCAAUGGUGUGGCGUGAUCUCGGCUCACUGCAACUAAUUUGGAGCAUCUUUCUAAGACUUUGCAUGUAAAUGUGACUGGAUGGCCAUCUGUCAGGAAAAGACUAGAAUAAUUGAAUUGGAAAAGCGAAAAAAAUAAAAGUGG